AUUGAACGCUGGCGGCAUGCCUUACACAUGCAAGUCGAACGGCAGCACGGGAGCUUGCUCCUGGUGGCGAGUGGCGAACGGGUGAGUAAAGCAUCGGAACGUAUCCGGAAGUGGGGGAGUAACGUAGCGAAAGUUACGCUAAUACCGCAUAUUCUAUGAGCAGGAAAGAGGGGGAGUCGCAAGACCUCUCGCUUUCGGAGCGGCCGAUGUCGGAUUAGCUAGUUGGUGGGGUAAAGGCUCACCAAGGCAACGAUCCGUAGCGGGUCUGAGAGGAUGAUCCGCCACACUGGAACUGAGACACGGUCCAGACUCCUACGGGAGGCAGCAGUGGGGAAUUUUGGACAAUGGGCGCAAGCCUGAUCCAGCCAUGCCGCGUGAGUGAAGAAGGCCU
This 391-nucleotide ribosomal RNA is filed under the name uncultured bacterium. RNAcentral's name for it is "bacterial SSU rRNA". It matches the Rfam family "Bacterial small subunit ribosomal RNA", at positions 30 to 417 of the family's 1533-position model. The record is from RNAcentral.